Non-coding RNA from Trichonephila inaurata madagascariensis, 71 nucleotides. The record is from the annotation of a GenBank genome assembly. Lineage: Eukaryota; Metazoa; Arthropoda; Arachnida; Araneae; Nephilidae.
GCCAUCAUACUCGUGGCAGAGCACUGGUCUUGAAAAACCAGGGGUCGUGAGUUCGAUCCUCCCUGGUGGCU